UCUCCGUGAAGCACAAAACGGACCUUAUUCAGACAGAGGGCAUCAAAAACUGGGAAGACAGCAGAUGCUCUAGUUGAAAUUUUAAAAAUCCACGAUGAACAGGAAAUCCAUGACAUCCACACCAAGCGCACUACUGUUCUCCACGCCCUUCCUGUGUAUCUGUGCGAGGAUGCUUCUGGAUUUUUCAGAACCUGCACAGACAAGUCUGAUGAGCCAGAGCUUGACAGUGUUGCAGUGGGCCUCCUUACUAUCAUCAGUGACCAUGACACAAGUCCAGUUCACUACAACCCUGUGAGAAUCUCUGUCAUCGUUGAAAGUGAUGCCAUGAUCAGCCUCCCCCGACUUGGCGAUGCCUUCCUGGUAAUCUUGCACAAAAAUCUAUGCACUACACCUCAGCUACCCCAAAGCACUGACCAACACUUUUGAAUUCACUGAAAAGAUUCUACUUGGUCUAGAAAGUGGUAAACUGUCACCCAAGUUGCAGACCCCCAGGAAUGACUUGAUCAGAAGUCAAGUUGAGCAGAAACUCAUCUGAAAGAAGGCUGCAGGGAAAGCUUUAUAAAAGGCUAGUUCAAAGGUUAAGGGGAAAUGUUCUAUAGAGUUUUUGUAAUUUCAUCCAAAUUGCUGCCCUGUUGCCUUAUGCAUGCAUUUUGCAUGUAAUCUUGUCGCGCAAAUAAUUUGCGUCACGUUUGGUGUGACCACGGUGUGUGUUGCUUUUCUGCCAACUCAGCUGCAAGAAUAAUACUCCUGUAAACCUGCUGCUUGUAAAACACUCUCAAA
Molecule: long non-coding RNA, 780 nt
Organism: Gasterosteus aculeatus aculeatus (three-spined stickleback)
Lineage: Eukaryota; Metazoa; Chordata; Actinopteri; Perciformes; Gasterosteidae
Source: RefSeq, a predicted model, not a curated record